This 179-nucleotide ribosomal RNA is filed under the name uncultured bacterium. RNAcentral's name for it is "partial 16S ribosomal RNA". It matches the Rfam family "Bacterial small subunit ribosomal RNA", at positions 65 to 226 of the family's 1533-position model. The record is from RNAcentral.
AGCGAAUCUGAUGGGAGCUUGCUCCCUGAGAUUAGCGGCGGACGGGUGAGUAACACGUGGGCAACCUGCCUAUAAGACUGGGAUAACUUCUGGGAAACCUGGAGCUAAUACCUGGAUACNGUUCUUCUCUCGCAUGAGAGAAGAUGUGAAAGACUGGUUUACUGCUGUCACUUAUAGAU